GAAUGGAUUAGCGGCGAACGGGUGAGGAACACGUGAAGAAUCUGCCCUCCACUUUGGGAUAACACAGGGAAACCUGUGCUAAUACCGAAUAUUGAAACAUAAGUGGCAUCACUGAGUUUUGAAAGAAUUUCGGUGGAGGAUGACUUCGCGGCCUAUCAGCUAGUUGGUGAGGUAAUGGCUCACCAAGGCAACGACGGGUAGCUGGCCUGAGAGGGCGACCGGCCACACUGGGACUGAGACACGGCCCAGACUCCUACGGGAGGCAGCAGUGGGGAAUAUUGGGCAAUGGAGGAAACUCUGACCCAGCGACGCCGCGUGCGGGAUGAAGGCCUUCGGGUUGUAAACCGCUUUCAGUAGGGAAGAAGCGAAAGUGACGGUACCUACAAAAGAAGCACCGGCUAACUAUGUGCCAGCAGCCGCGGUAAUACAUAGGGUGCAAGCGUUGUCCGGAAUUAUUGGGCGUAAAGAGCUCGUAGGUUGUUUGUUACGUCGGAUGUGAAAACCUGAGGCUCAACCUCAGGCCUGCAUUCGAUACGGGCAAACUAGAGUUUGGUAGGGGAGACUGGAAUUCCUGGUGUAGCGGUGGAAUGCGCAGAUAUCAGGAGGAACACCAAUGGCGAAGGCAGGUCUCUGGGCCAAUACUGACACUGAGGAGCGAAAGUCUGGGGAGCGAACAGGAUUAGAUACCCUGGUAGUCCAGACCGUAAACGGUGGGCACUAGUUGUGGGGACCUUCCACGGUCUCUGCGACGCAGCUAACGCAUUAAGUGCCCCGCCUGGGGAGUACGAUCGCAAGAUUAAAACUCAAAGGAAUUGACGGGGCCCCGCACAAGCAGCGGAGCAUGCGGCUUAAUUCGACGCAACGCGAAGAACCUUACCAAGGCUUGACAUAUAGGGAAAAGUGGCAGAGAUGUCAUGUCCGCAAGGGCCCUAUACAGGUGGUGCAUGGUUGUCGUCAGCUCGUGUCGUGAGAUGUUGGGUUAAGUCCCGCAACGAGCGCAACCCUCGUUCUGUGUUGCCAGCAUUUAGUUGGGGACUCACAGGAGACUGCCGGGGUUAACUCGGAGGAAGGUGGGGAUGACGUCAAAUCAUCAUGCCCCUUAUGUCUUGGGCUGCACGCAUGCUACAAUGGCCGGUACAGAGGGCUGCAAUACCGUAAGGUGGAGCGAAUCCCAUAAAGCCGGUCUCAGUUCGGAUUGGGGUCU
This 1204-nucleotide ribosomal RNA is filed under the name uncultured bacterium. Its description in RNAcentral is "bacterial SSU rRNA". It matches the Rfam family "Bacterial small subunit ribosomal RNA", at positions 85 to 1306 of the family's 1533-position model. The record is from RNAcentral.